UGUGGCUUUGGAGUCUGUCCUGU
RNAcentral lists this non-coding RNA (23 nucleotides) under Cricetulus griseus (Chinese hamster). The record is from RNAcentral. Lineage: Eukaryota; Metazoa; Chordata; Mammalia; Rodentia; Cricetidae.